UACGGGAGGCAGCAGUGGGGAAUAUUGCACAAUGGGCGCAAGCCUGAUGCAGCCAUGCCGCGUGUAUGAAAAAGGCCUUCGGGUUGUAAAGUACUUUCAGUCGUGAGGAAGGUGUUAAGGUUAAUAACCUUAGCAAUUGACGUUAGCGACAGAAGAAGCACCGGCUAACUCCGUGCCAGCAGCCGCGGUAAUACGGAGGGUGCGAGCGUUAAUCGGAAUUACUGGGCGUAAAGGGCACGCAGGCGGUUAAUUAAGUUGGAUGUGAAAUCCCCGGGCUUAACCUGGGAAUGGCAUUCAAGACUGGUUAGCUAGAGUCUUGUAGAGGGGGUAGAAUUCCAUGUGUAGCGGUGAAUGCGUAGAGAUGUGGAGGAAUACCGGUGGCGAAGGCGGCCCCUGGACAAAGACUGACGCUCAUGUGCGAAAGCGUGGGGAGCAAACG
This 439-nucleotide ribosomal RNA is filed under the name uncultured bacterium. RNAcentral's name for it is "bacterial SSU rRNA". It matches the Rfam family "Bacterial small subunit ribosomal RNA", at positions 340 to 774 of the family's 1533-position model. The record is from RNAcentral.